UCAACUAGCUUACCUGGCUAAAUAAAGGUGUUCUCAACUAGCCUACCUGGUUAAAUAAAGGUGUUCUCAACUAGCCUACCUGGCUAAAUAAAGGUGUUCUCAACUAGCCUACCUGGUUAAAUAAAGGUGUUCUCAACUAGCCUACCUGGUUAAAUAAAGGUGUUCUCAACUAGCCUACCUGGUUAAAUAAAGGUGUUCUCAACUAGCCUACCUGGCUAAAUAAAGGUGUUCUCAACUAGCCUACCUGGUUAAAUAAAGGUGUUCUCAACUAGCCUACCUGGUUAAAUAAAGGUGAAAUAAAAAAAUAAAAUAAAACAUUAGAUAGUAGCUUGUGGUGUCUGAUACUUGUGAGAUUUGUUCAUGACCGUUUGCAGUGGAAGAUGUACUUUCAGAUUUCUCAUAAGGUCGCCUGCGAGCUACUGGUAGGAAACCCCUGGUAUUAACAAGCACACACACACACACACACACACGAAGCAGUAAACCCAUUGGAACAACGGCACUACCCAGCACUUCAAAAAAAAAAAGGAUUUCAUGUUCAGAAUAAAACCUGUUGAACAAGGUCUAUGAGUUGUAG
This is a long non-coding RNA of Oncorhynchus tshawytscha (Chinook salmon), 574 nucleotides long. The record is from Ensembl. NCBI's taxonomy places the organism in Eukaryota, Metazoa, Chordata, Actinopteri, Salmoniformes, Salmonidae.